CAGCCGCCGCGGGAAUACGAAGGGGGCUAGCGUUGUUCGGAUUUACUGGGCGUAAAGCGCACGUAGGCGGACUUUUAAGUCAGGGGUGAAAUCCCGGGGCUCAACCCCGGAACUGCCUUUGAUACUGGAAGUCUUGAGUAUGGUAGAGGUGAGUGGAAUUCCGAGUGUAGAGGUGAAAUUCGUAGAUAUUCGGAGGAACACCAGUGGCGAAGGCGGCUCACUGGACAAUUACUGACGCUGAGGUGCGAAAGCGUGGGGAGCAAACAGGAUUAGUACCCGCGUAGUCCCUGUCUCUUAUACC
This 301-nucleotide ribosomal RNA is filed under the name uncultured bacterium. Its description in RNAcentral is "partial 16S ribosomal RNA". It matches the Rfam family "Bacterial small subunit ribosomal RNA", at positions 509 to 808 of the family's 1533-position model. The record is from RNAcentral.